GCAAUGGAUUUAAAUCCCAUAAAUAAAGUUUAUUACACACUUU
Molecule: transfer RNA, 43 nt
Filed under: Formica paralugubris
Lineage: Eukaryota; Metazoa; Arthropoda; Insecta; Hymenoptera; Formicidae
Description: tRNA-Leu
Source: RNAcentral